AGUCUGCAACUCGACUCCGUGAAGCUGGAUUCGCUAGUAAUCGCGCAUCAGCCAUGGCGCGGUGAAUACGUUCCCGGGCCUUGUACACACCGCCCGUCAAGCCAUGGGAGCCGGGGGUACCUGAAGUCCGUAACCGCGAGGAUCGGCCUAGGGUAAAACUGGUGACUGGGGCUAAGUCGUAACAAGGUAAC
RNAcentral lists this ribosomal RNA (191 nucleotides) under uncultured bacterium. RNAcentral describes it as "partial 16S ribosomal RNA". It matches the Rfam family "Bacterial small subunit ribosomal RNA", at positions 1302 to 1500 of the family's 1533-position model. The record is from RNAcentral.